CACGUAGGAGGCAAGCGUUAUCCGGAUUUACUGGGCGUAAAGCGCGUGCAGGCGGUUUAGAAAGUUGGAUGUGAAAGCUCCUGGCUUAACUGGGAGAGGUCGUUCAAUACUUCUAGACUAGAGUAUGGGAGAGGGAGGUGGAAUUCCGGGUGUAGUGGUGAAAUGCGUAGAUAUCCGGAGGAACACCAGUGGCGAAAGCGGCCUCCUGGCCCAUUACUGACGCUCAGACGCGAAAGCUAGGGUAG
RNAcentral lists this ribosomal RNA (245 nucleotides) under uncultured Anaerolineaceae bacterium. RNAcentral describes it as "partial 16S ribosomal RNA". It matches the Rfam family "Bacterial small subunit ribosomal RNA", at positions 524 to 768 of the family's 1533-position model. Lineage: Bacteria; Bacillati; Chloroflexota; Anaerolineae; Anaerolineales; Anaerolineaceae. The record is from RNAcentral.